ACUGGGUGUGGUGGCGCAUGCCUGUAAUUCCAGUGGUUUGGGAGGCUGAGGCAGGAGGAUCACAAGUUCCAGGCCAGCCUCAGCAAUUUAGCAAAGCCACAAGCAACUUAGUGAGACCCUGUUUCAA
This 127-nucleotide small RNA is filed under the name Marmota monax (woodchuck). Lineage: Eukaryota; Metazoa; Chordata; Mammalia; Rodentia; Sciuridae. The record is from RNAcentral.